RNAcentral lists this long non-coding RNA (328 nucleotides) under Carassius auratus (goldfish). Its description in RNAcentral is "lncRNA (ENSCARG00000038035.1)". Lineage: Eukaryota; Metazoa; Chordata; Actinopteri; Cypriniformes; Cyprinidae. The record is from RNAcentral.
AAAUGUAGUCAUGAGUCAGAACCAAAGCUAAUUUGCUUUUCUUCUAGGAGUUAGGGAAACUUGUCCUCUGAUCUGGUUUGUGUUUAACUGAAAUACACCAGUGUCUCAAAACUAACGAUGACUAUAUAUCAUAAAGCUUUUAUAAAAACACCAACAAUCAUCUCUAUUAUUCUGUAUGUGUUAACACUUAACUUGUCAUUCAAAACUGUCACAUGGGCGACAACUACAGCAGGUAACGUACUCUGUUGCUGACUGGUGUGUGGUCUGGAUAUGCAUGACUGUGAUCAGAAGUGAAUUUCGAUCAAAGGCCAAAGAAACUCCAAAUACA